AAAAGACAGAAAAUGGGCUCAAGAAUACACCAAAAAUCCUUGAUGACAUCUGUGCUUCUUUAGUGGAAAACAAAAUGUCCUCUGAUUUAGCUAAGCACCCUCAGGGACUGAGGACAAGCCAGCAUGCUGACACUCCUCAUACCUGGCUAUGAGAUAAUUGCCUGCUCUGUUUGCAAGAUCCCAACAGGAGCAACUGGAAUGUGUUCAGGGAGUGAUGGAAAUAGGGCAGCUAGUGAGGGUUUGUGGGGUGCAUCAUAAAUUAAAUGGUGAACCUUGGAAGCCUGAAUCUUUCACCAAAGGAGAUAUGGAAGUCAACAUAGUUAAUGGCAGGACCUAAUGAAAUGAUCACAGAAGCCACAGUAGACUUCUAGAGCGGGUUUGAAGUUAUUCCAAAAAGCUUUAAAAUGAAAAAUAAUGAUGUGGAAACUUAAGGACUAGCCACAAGGAGAAGAUUUUAGAGAUAUGAUCGCUUCCAGGUUUGAUGAUCUGAUUGCCAACAUUCCAUUGCCUGAGCACACUUGAGUACACAAAAUGAGAUGGCAAACUAAAUUUGUUCUCUAGACUGCCAAACUACUUUGUUUGGCCAGAUCUGGUUCUGAAGAUACAUAAUGCUUACAGGCUUAUUAGAGAUUGGAAAUAUGGAGCCUCAAGUCUUUAUUUAGAUAUAUCUGGUGUAGCCAGUGUUAUGGUCUAUGUGGAAAUUUCCAAAGGAUAGUGUGACCAUGAAGAACUCCUUAAAACUAUCCAAGAUGGAAUGCUGACGAACUCACAACAAACUCAAGAAAACCCAGCAGGCCGGGCGUGGUGGUUCACACCUGCAAAAAGAAAGAAGGAAGGAAGGAAGAAAAGAAAAGAAAGAAAAGAAGAGAAAAGAAAAGAAAAUCCAGCAGACCAUGAUCCUAUUUGUGAUCAGAGCUGGUAUUUAGACAGAUCACUAAGAAAGCAUCUUCAUGAAGAGUAUGGAGGUCAAGGCUGAGCUAUUAUACAAUUUCUCAGAGAAGCAGUGUUUAUCACAGCAGGAACUCCACAUCAGACCCAUAACUUACAUAGUGGUAUCAAAAUGACUGAAAAUUUUGUUUCUCUAGAGCAUGUUAAACAAUGCUCCUGGUUUAGACAGGAAUUCCGUUAUCUGUCACAGAUUCAUACCAAUCACAAAGAUGUAUUACAGGUGAGGUACGUUAUCUACCACGCAUUGAAAGAUGUUGCUGCUAUACUAAAAACCAGUGGAUCCAGUUUUGU
This 1239-nucleotide long non-coding RNA is filed under the name Homo sapiens (human). RNAcentral's name for it is "non-protein coding lnc-SLC40A1-2:1". The record is from RNAcentral. Lineage: Eukaryota; Metazoa; Chordata; Mammalia; Primates; Hominidae.